This is a long non-coding RNA of Zingiber officinale, 2579 nucleotides long. RefSeq lists it as uncharacterized. NCBI's taxonomy places the organism in Eukaryota, Viridiplantae, Streptophyta, Magnoliopsida, Zingiberales, Zingiberaceae. The transcript has 2 exons. The record is from RefSeq and is a predicted model, not a curated record.
UCCAUCUCCUUCUUCUUCUCGCGAUUUUCUGCUAGGGCUCGCGUCAAGCUUCACCCAUUUCUGCAUUCUUCUGCCUUCCUCACCACCGGCCGGUGGCUUAUCCCCUUCCCUUCAUUGUCGCCGGCCGGCCAGCCCAAACCUUUCCUUCUUCUCCGAUCUGCUCACACCUGCGAUGGAUGUCAACUUCGAUGAUCCUGUGAGCGACGACGACCUCAGUAAGGGGUUCUCUGACGGUGUAGCGUUCCGCGCCGGCGCAGUGGAUUCCCCUCAUCUUCCGGUCCUUAUUGAAGAGCGGCGGCCAAUCUAGGGUUCCUUGACGGUGGAGCAUUCUCCUCCAGAGAGGCACUCCUAGACCACUCUUACCUCUGAAGGUCUCCUUACCUACGGUGUUACGAACGUAGGGAGUUUUAAGCAGAGGAAUCCGUCUGUUUUUUCCUCUUCUCCGCUGUUUUCAUCUUCUCCGGUGGAAGCUGCUGUGGAGCUCUUCUUCUGUGGACGACGUUCUGAGAGCAGAAGUCUCCAUCUCAGUGUGUAUUCCAACUCCGGAAAAAUCACUCCAAUUCUGGCAGAUCAUUCAAGAAAAGUUAUUCGUGAUCAAGGGCAGUCGUUGUGUUGCUGCUCACCGGUGCUGGCGUCCCAAGUCCGGGCCCUUCGUGUGACGACGAAGGGUAGUGAGCUCGCAGUUGAUCGUGGAAAAGGAAGUUUAGUUAAUUUAGUUUCUUUUCUUGUUUGAUUGUGUUAUGUUUGGUUAACUUAGUUUAAUUCAUGUUGAUGUUUGUUAAUUGUAGUUGAAUUUUUGUAUUGUACUCAAUUCCCUAUGUUUAAAUUGCAUUGAUCUUACUUCAUUUGUUUCAUGCACAUAACAUGUUCGUUGUAUUGCUUCAACCAUUAGUUAAGUUAAAUUGCUUCAACUAUUAAUUAAGUCUAAUUUGAUGAAUUUUAUUUUGUUUAAUUAUUGUUUUAUUUUGUUCUUUCAAUUUUUUUAAGUCUUAGUUUUGAUUGAAUGCAACUAGGAUAUAUUAGUAUAAAUUUUAUUACAUGCUUUAAGUUUUGUUCAUGCUUAGUUUUGUUGAUGUUUUACUUCAUAUUGUCUUUUAUUUUUUGCAAUUGUAGUUAGGAUAGACUUACUUUUCAUUAUUUGCAUUAUCUUUCAUUUACUAGAUUAGGUUUCAUAUAAUGUUUUGUUAUUUCAUUCCUUAGUUUAUUUUCAUUGAUGGUGAAAUCGUAGCAUAGAGUGGUAAUGCGUUGUGAGAUCACUAUUAAUGGAUAGAUAGGAUUUUGUUCAUUUCAUGAGGAUAAAUUUCAUACUUAUUUUGUUAUCUCAUUUGUUAGGUUUAGAAUCAAAAUCUAAAACCCCUAUUUCUAUAUAAAAAAAAUCUAAAAAAUAUGAAUAACAAACAAUCCUAGAUUACCAUCCUAUCGUAGCAUUCAUUGGGAGACGACCUGAGUCAUUUCUAUAUUGCAUUAGUGUAGUUAGAGGGUUCAAUACUUAAAUUCUUUUGAUAUCGUUUCACGAUAAAAAUGAACAUUAUCAAAAAUUAGCGUCGUUGUCGAGGAAGUGUUUGUGGUGUUUUGUGAUCUUAGAAUUAUUUUUCUAGUUUUCUGAAAAUUUUUUUUGUUUGGUGCCUUGAUUAUUUUAUGCUUUAUAUAUUCAUGUGUUUUGUUAUGAUUACUUAUUGUGUUUGGUGAUUUCAUUGUCAUUGUUUCAGGUAAGAUAAGGAAAUUCUUUGAGUUUGACAUGGAUUUUUAUUCUCAGCAAUUUAGAGACUUCAAUGAAUAUCAUAAUUCGGAUAUUGGGUGAGUGAUGCACAUAUGUAUUAAUUGUGACAGUCAUUCUCAUCUAGUUGCUAUAUACCACCUCAUCCAAAAGACUGCUAGAUUUUCUAUGGAAUCUCAGUAUUCCCAACUUCAAUAUCAAGAUGCAUAUGAUCUAGCUCCUAGCACAUAUAAUCAUGAUUGGGAUUCCUAAGCAGUAUGUGGAUACACAGCAAUAGGUUAUUUAGCAUCCUCGGUGUUACAAUUCAGACUAGAAGGACCAUCAAAAUUUCAUGUAUGGGAACGUGCAACAAUAAUUGAAUCAAUCUUUUUAAGCAUAUUAGAGGCUAUUGGGAUUCCAAGAUGACUCAAUGCUUACAUGGUCACAAACAUUUUAGCAAGUCAAACUCAUGUUUUCGGAUACAUUCAAGGGCUCUAAUGAAGAAAUAUAUGUGCUAGAAUGUGAAGAGAGCAUGUAAGUUACCUUGCAGUCGCAAUAAUAAGCCACUCUGGAUGCAGCAAGAAUACAAAAUUUGAAGAUUCGGUUAGACCAAAUGACAUCAUUCAUCGGCUAGAUGCUUGCACAAGGUACAAGUCUGUCUCUCUCAAAGGACAUUUCUGAUGAUAUCGACAUGCCUGAGGAGAUGGAUUGUAGAGUUAGUGGUAUUCUUGUAUCUAAUUCAACUGUUCUACAAGACUCCACUAUUUCUUUGUGCUGUGAUGAUGAAGUUGUCAUUGAUGCAAGCACUAUUGAUGAUACAUGUAAAAUAUUGGAUGAAAAUAUUGAUAUUACAAAUAUUGUUGAUGAAGAUAUUAUUAUGUCA